RNAcentral lists this ribosomal RNA (257 nucleotides) under Pseudomonas sp. GFP8. RNAcentral describes it as "partial 16S ribosomal RNA". It matches the Rfam family "Bacterial small subunit ribosomal RNA", at positions 316 to 566 of the family's 1533-position model. The record is from RNAcentral. Lineage: Bacteria; Pseudomonadati; Pseudomonadota; Gammaproteobacteria; Pseudomonadales; Pseudomonadaceae.
GAACUGAGACACGGUCCAGACUCCUACGGGAGGCAGCAGUGGGGAAUUUUGGACAAUGGGGGAAACCCUGAUCCAGCCAUGCCGCGUGUGUGAUGAAGGUCUUCGGAUUGUAAAGCACUUUUGGUUGGAAAGAAGGGCGCGGGUUAAUACCUUGCUGAACUGACGGUACCUGCAGAAUAAGCACCGGCUAACUUCGUGCCAGCAGCCGCGGUAAUACGAAGGGUGCAAGCGUUAAUCGGAAUUACUGGGCGUAAAGC